This 445-nucleotide ribosomal RNA is filed under the name uncultured bacterium. RNAcentral describes it as "partial 16S ribosomal RNA". It matches the Rfam family "Bacterial small subunit ribosomal RNA", at positions 354 to 796 of the family's 1533-position model. The record is from RNAcentral.
GUGAGGAAUAUUGGUCAAUGGGCGAGAGCCUGAACCAGCCAAGUCGCGUGAAGGAAGAAGGAUCUAUGGUUCGUAAACUUCUUUUGCAGGGGAAUAAAGUGCAGGACGUGUCCUGUUUUGUAUGUACCCUGAGAAUAAGGAUCGGCUAACUCCGUGCCAGCAGCCGCGGUAAUACGGAGGAUCCGAGCGUUAUCCGGAUUUAUUGGGUUUAAAGGGUGCGUAGGUGGUUUGAUAAGUCAGCGGUGAAAGUUUGCAGCUUAACUGUAAAAAUGCCGUUGAAACUGUCGGACUUGAGUGUAAAUGAGGUAGGCGGAAUGCGUGGUGUAGCGGUGAAAUGCAUAGAUAUCACGCAGAACUCCGAUUGCGAAGGCGGCUUACUAAGCUACAACUGACACUGAAGCACGAAAGCGUGGGGAUCAAACAGGAUUAGAUACCCUAGUAGUCC